Molecule: ribosomal RNA, 489 nt
Filed under: uncultured bacterium
Lineage: Bacteria
Description: partial 16S ribosomal RNA
Rfam family: Bacterial small subunit ribosomal RNA
Source: RNAcentral
AAUGAACGCUGGCGGCAUGCCUUACACAUGCAAGUCGAACGGCAGCAUGACCUAGCUUGCUAGGUUGAUGGCGAGUGGCGAACGGGUGAGUAAUGCAUCGGAACGUGCCUUUUAGUGGGGGAUAACGUAGCGAAAGUUACGCUAAUACCGCAUAUUCUCUGAGGAGGAAAGCAGGGGACCUUCGGGCCUUGCGCUAGAAGAGCGGCCGAUGUCGGAUUAGCUAGUUGGUGAGGUAAAGGCUCACCAAGGCAACGAUCCGUAGCGGGUCUGAGAGGAUGAUCCGCCACACUGGGACUGAGACACGGCCCAGACUCCCACGGGAGGCAGCAGUGGGGAAUUUUGGACAAUGGGCGCAAGCCUGAUCCAGCCAUGCCGCGUGAGUGAAGAAGGCCUUCGGGUUGUAAAGCUCUUUCGGCUGGGAAGAAAUCGCACCCUCUAAUACAGGGUGUGGAUGACGGUACCAGCAUAAGAAGCACCGGCUAACUACGU